This 495-nucleotide ribosomal RNA is filed under the name Triticum aestivum (bread wheat). RNAcentral's name for it is "partial small subunit ribosomal RNA". Lineage: Eukaryota; Viridiplantae; Streptophyta; Magnoliopsida; Poales; Poaceae. The record is from RNAcentral.
AUGACUUUGUUACCCAAAAACUCACCAAGUGGAAUGAUGAGCUCAUCAUGUAGCUCCACAGCUCAUUUCCACCCAGAUGGGAGGAUUGUCUGGAUGUCUGAGGGUACUAGGUACCAAUCCACAGUUGAGGGAUGGGUUGAGCUGAUCAAUGCCCCUAAGGAAUCUGAAGAUGACUUGGAUGUAUAUGCAGAAAAGAAGAAAUACCACAAUUCUAUGUCUCACAUGUACAGAGAGAUCCCAGAAAAGGCUUUGGAAACUCACAAGCUUGAAUCUGUACAUUUCUUGUUGUUAGGUCUGCCUACUAUCAAUUGGAUACUUAGGCACACAUUGCUUCCCAAGUCAGGAGAUCACAAGAUGAUCAGAGGUCAUGCUAUCAACUUGCUGCACUUGUUUGAUAUACCUCAGAAAUUCAAAGUCAUAAGUCUGAUUGUGAAAACAAUCAAGAGGACUGCAGCUGAUCAGAAGAGGAGUUGUGGGUAUGCUCCACACAUUUAG